AGUGAACGCUGGCGGUAGGCCUAACACAUGCAAGUCGAACGGCAGCACAGUAAGAGCUUGCUCUUACGGGUGGCGAGUGGCGGACGGGUGAGGAAUACAUCGGAAUCUACUUUUUCGUGGGGGAUAACGUAGGGAAACUUACGCUAAUACCGCAUACGACCUACGGGUGAAAGCAGGGGAUCUUCGGACCUUGCGCGAUUGAAUGAGCCGAUGUCGUAUUAGCUAGUUGGCGGGGUAAAGGCCCACCAAGGCGACGAUCCGUAGAUGGUCUGAGAGGAUGAUCAGCCACACUGGAACGGAGACACGGUCCAGAGUCCUACGAGAGGCAGCAGUGGGGAAUAUUGGACAAUGGGCGAAAGCCUGAUCCAGCCAUACCGCGUGGGUGAAGAAGGCCUUCGGGUUGUAAAGCCCUUUUGUUGGGAAAGAAAAGCAGCAGGUUAAUACCCCGCUGUUCGGACGGUACCCAAAGAAUAAGCACCGGCUAACUUCGU
RNAcentral lists this ribosomal RNA (491 nucleotides) under uncultured bacterium. RNAcentral's name for it is "partial 16S ribosomal RNA". It matches the Rfam family "Bacterial small subunit ribosomal RNA", at positions 29 to 506 of the family's 1533-position model. The record is from RNAcentral.